GACGAACGCUGGCGGCGUGCCUAAUACAUGCAAGUCGAACGCUUUUUCUUUCACCGGAGCUUGCUCCACCGAAAGAAAAAGAGUGGCGAACGGGUGAGUAACACGUGGGUAACCUGCCCAUCAGAAGGGGAUAACACUUGGAAACAGGUGCUAAUACCGUAUAACACUAUUUUCCGCAUGGAAGAAAGUUGAAAGGCGCUUUUGCGUCACUGAUGGAUGGACCCGCGGUGCAUUAGCUAGUUGGUGAGGUAACGGCUCACCAAGGCAACGAUGCAUAGCCGACCUGAGAGGGUGAUCGGCCACACUGGGACUGAGACACGGCCCAGACUCCUACGGGAGGCAGCAGUAGGGAAUCUUCGGCAAUGGACGAAAGUCUGACCGAGCAACGCCGCGUGAGUGAAAGAAGGUUUUCGGAUCGUAAAAACUCUGU
RNAcentral lists this ribosomal RNA (430 nucleotides) under Enterococcus casseliflavus. RNAcentral describes it as "bacterial SSU rRNA". It matches the Rfam family "Bacterial small subunit ribosomal RNA", at positions 28 to 436 of the family's 1533-position model. Lineage: Bacteria; Bacillati; Bacillota; Bacilli; Lactobacillales; Enterococcaceae. The record is from RNAcentral.